CAGUCGCCGCGGUAAUACGAAGGGUGCAAGCGUUACUCGGAAUUACUGGGCGUAAAGCGUGCGUAGGUGGUGGUUUAAGUCCGUUGUGAAAUCCCCGGGCUCAACCUGGGAAUGGCAAUGGAUACUGGCAAGCUAGAGUGUGUCAGAGGAUGGUGGAAUUCCCGGUGUAGCGGUGAAAUGCGUAGAGAUCGGGAGGAACAUCAGUGGCGAAGGCGGCCAUCUGGGACAACACUGACGCUGAGGCACGAAAGCGUGGGGAGCAAACAGGAUUAGAUACCCCUGUAGUCCCUGUCUCUUAUAC
This 301-nucleotide ribosomal RNA is filed under the name uncultured bacterium. Its description in RNAcentral is "partial 16S ribosomal RNA". It matches the Rfam family "Bacterial small subunit ribosomal RNA", at positions 509 to 807 of the family's 1533-position model. The record is from RNAcentral.